Molecule: ribosomal RNA, 544 nt
Filed under: uncultured bacterium
Lineage: Bacteria
Description: bacterial LSU rRNA
Rfam family: Bacterial large subunit ribosomal RNA
Source: RNAcentral
CGGGGGUUGUAGGGUCCGUGAUGUGGGACGAGGAUCGCGAGAAGAACAGGCAUGGAAAGGCCGGCCCAUAGAAGGUGACAGCCCUGUAGACGUAGCGAGAGACGCCCUAACGGAUACCUGAGUACCGCAGGACACGUGCAAUCCGGCGGGAAUCCGGCGGGACCAUCCGCCAAGCCUAAGUACUACUCAUCGACCGAUAGUGAACGAGUACCGUGAGGGAAAAGGUGAAAAGCACCCCGAGAGGGGAGUGAAAUAGAACCUGAAACCACGUCUGCCUACAAGCACUGGGAGCACGAUGGAGCAAUCCCGUGUGACCGGGUACCUUUUGCAUAAUGGGCCUGCGAGUUGCGUUUCGUGGCGAGGUUAAGCCGAGAGGUGGAGCCGGAGCGAAAGCGAGUCCGAAUAGGGCGGUAGUCGCGGGACGCAGACCCGAAGCCCGACGAUCUAUCCAUGACCAGGUUGAAGCGCGGGUAAUACCGCGUGGAGGACCGAACCCACCUUAGUUGAAAAUAAGGGGGAUGAGUUGUGGAUCGGAGUGAAAGGC